Non-coding RNA from Lactuca sativa (garden lettuce), 1718 nucleotides. The record is from RefSeq and is a predicted model, not a curated record. NCBI's taxonomy places the organism in Eukaryota, Viridiplantae, Streptophyta, Magnoliopsida, Asterales, Asteraceae.
GACUCCCCAAAACAAAACUCUUUCGAGUUAGUGGAUUGAAAAUUUGAAUCUUGAUCUUAAAAUUUUCAAAAUCUCACUCUCUCUCCACAAGAACUGCCAUCAAUCACAUAUUUCAUCUCCCCCACCAUGUAUUGUCGCAUUCUCCGCCACAUACAACGACUUCGUCACUCACCACUUGCUCCACCGGUGUCGCUUUCUUCGCUUCCACAUAUGUACAACUGAUCAAAUUUGGUCACUUAUGGACGACAACUCACCAUCUCCAUCUUACUACCGCCUUCAUCUGUCACUACCAUCCACCGGAGUCGCCUUUUCCGAUUCCACCAUGACUCCCUCUAUUUCUUCUUCUAUAUAUGUAAGUAACUUAACCACCACGAACCAUUUAUUUGAUGCUCUCUUUCUCUGCUGUAGAAACUAGAAAGAUACAUAGGAAAGACACAAUUCGUCAUCGCCACCGUUGUAGAAUACAACAUCUGGCGAUUAUAUAUCUUCCCCAGUCGAUCUACACACGGGAUUUUGUCGUUUGUUAGAUUCAAAUCGGACAUAGGAUUGACGUUUCAAACAUUCAAAUCGAACAGAAUCAUAGAAAGAGGAAAUAAAAGAAACUUGGCGACCAAACCUAAAGCCUGACCAUCAGGGUUUGCUUUUGAUUUUUGGAUUUCUUUCUGCGUUUCUGCAGACAAAGCUGGGUGAAGACAUAUCUGGGGGAGACGGAUUUGGGAGAUGAUCAAUUAUAGAAUCUGGGUCACAAAAUGAUCGUUUGAAAAAUCAUUUGUAUGCUCCUAACACGACAGUCUUUGCUCAUGGAGUCGUCGAGUAACAAAUUUGAAUGAAUAGAACCCCAAUCAUAUCUUUUGCUACCAUAAUGGAUGAACCUGGUAAAAUAAAGAAAAAGAUUCAAGUUGUGGCUCAGUUGUUGGAGCAACUGAUUUGGAAAAGAAUGUAACCUGGUGCUUUGACUUGAAUAAUUUUUGUCAGAUAAAUUGUAAAAAGGUGGCAGCAAAAAACCAUUUUAAGAAAAAACGCCUUGACUUUGGCUCCAAAUGAGUUUUUUAAUCAAGUCAAGUCUGAGUUUUUGAAGCAAGUCAGGUCUGGUCGAUCUAUCAAUACUUUUUUGGUACUAUGGUUUGUUCUGAAUCAAAGCAAGGUAAUAAUUUAAAUUAGUAAAGUUGUUGACAACAUCUAUAAGGUUUAAUGAUGUUAGCUUUUAGGGAUUUUUUUGAUAAAAGUACCAUCUUCAAAUGAGCACCCUUAUGGCACCAGGAAGGUCUAAUGGUUAGAUAAAAAUAUAAAGAAACAAAGCACAAAAGACACUUGGUAGCUCAACAUCUGUUUUGGUGGUAGGGGUUUCAUUUACUAUUUUUUUUUAGCAUCCACAAAUCCAAUGACAUCAUGAUAUAAGGAGUCGAGUUUGUGGUUUUAACACUUGUAUAGACUUGAUAUCUAUCUUACUUUAAAUUGUUUGCUUGUAGGAGCUGAGUUUGUCAAAAAAAAUGUAAAAGAUCAUCUUAAGCCCUAUACAGGAUGACUUAUGGACUUUGGAAAUGCGGCUGCUUGAGGUCUAAUGUAUACAUCCCUGGAGUGAUGGAUCUUAUGGAGAUCCAAGGUUUAUGGCUUUUGAAUACUUGAAUUCUUCACUUCAUGGAUUCUUCUUUUUGUGUGCGAGUUUCCUAAUUGUUUGGUUUUGGAGGAAAAUUCAGUAUCUUAUUUUGGUGUUUUAA